AUACGCUUUUGUUUGUAACAAAACAAAACGUUUUAAACUCCAAAAGAAAUAGUGGAAAUAUAACUUCCGGAUGCGAAUUGUUGGGAACUGAGUAAAAUCGGUUCUUUGAAAAAGGGACUUCAAGUAAUUGACACUUCAGAGUAGAGCAGUGAGGUGAAAUUCUCUUUAAUGAGAGUUUGGUUCCGAAAACAUUUGUAUCCGGUUAUCAUAAUCUGUUCUACAACCUCCAAAAUAUCAAACAAUAAACCCCAUGUACAACAACUCGAACUAAACAUUUUUUUGUCGUCCGCUUACACACUUGUUGUGUGAGAAGAUACUGCAAAGAAAAAACCUGAACUUAAGAA
Molecule: unclassified non-coding RNA, 344 nt
Filed under: soil metagenome
Description: partial internal transcribed spacer 1
Source: RNAcentral